Molecule: ribosomal RNA, 253 nt
Filed under: uncultured bacterium
Lineage: Bacteria
Description: partial 16S ribosomal RNA
Rfam family: Bacterial small subunit ribosomal RNA
Source: RNAcentral
UACAGAGGUGGCAAGCGUUGUUCGGAAUUACUGGGCGUAAAGGGCGCGUAGGCGGCCAACUAAGUCAGACGUGAAAUCCCAUGGCUCAACCAUGGAACUGCGUCUGAUACUGGAUGGCUUGAGUUCGGGAGAGGGAAGUGGAAUUCCAGGUGUAGCGGUGAAAUGCGUAGAUAUCUGGAGGAACACCGGUGGCGAAGGCGGCUUCCUGGACCGACACUGACGCUGAGGCGCGAAAGCCAGGGGAGCAAACGGG